Long non-coding RNA from Eubalaena glacialis (North Atlantic right whale), 313 nucleotides. RefSeq lists it as uncharacterized. The transcript is spliced from 3 exons. NCBI's taxonomy places the organism in Eukaryota, Metazoa, Chordata, Mammalia, Artiodactyla, Balaenidae. The record is from RefSeq and is a predicted model, not a curated record.
CAGACAGCGAAGCAGAUGGCCGCGCGAGGGGGCGGAGUCCCGGCGGGGCGUGGACGUCGCGAGCUCGACGGAGCCAAUCAAUUCCCUCAGCUGCUCCGGGGCUAGAAAACAAGGGGGAAGAAGAGGAUGGUCAAGAUUGACUGGCUGGAAGAUGAGAGAGCUCCCUCCUGAUGGUUUCUACUUGCCUUUGAAAUUCAUCAGCUAAGGGUGAGGAAGAGAAGUCGGGGUGUGAUUAUAUUAUAGAAGUCUCGUAUGUUUGACCCAACCACAAGAACCAUUGCACCAGAAGGGGCAAAAACCCUCUAAGAGGGAG